GACGAACGCUGGCGGCGUGCUUAACACAUGCAAGUCGAACGGAAAGGCCCUGCUUUUGUGGGGUGCUCGAGUGGCGAACGGGUGAGUAACACGUGAGUAACCUGCCCUUGACUUUGGGAUAACUUCAGGAAACUGGGGCUAAUACCGGAUAGGAGCUCCUGCUGCAUGUUGGGGGUUGGAAAGUUUCGGCGGUUGGGGAUGGACUCGCGGCUUAUCAGCUUGUUGGUGGGGUAGUGGCUUACCAAGGCUUUGACGGGUAGCCGGCCUGAGAGGGUGACCGGCCACAUGGGGACUGAGAUACGGCCCAGACUCCUACGGGAGGCAGCAGUGGGGAAUAUUGCACAAUGGGCGGAAGCCUGAUGCAGCAACGCCGCGUGCGGGAUGACGGCCUUCGGGUUGUAAACCGCUUUCGCCUGUGACGAAGCGUGAGUGACGGUAAUGGGUAAAGAAGCACCGGCUAACUACGUG
RNAcentral lists this ribosomal RNA (468 nucleotides) under uncultured bacterium. RNAcentral describes it as "partial 16S ribosomal RNA". It matches the Rfam family "Bacterial small subunit ribosomal RNA", at positions 28 to 507 of the family's 1533-position model. The record is from RNAcentral.